ACUUAAUAGAUACCCAGGUAGUCCACGCCGUAAACGAUGAAUACUCGGCAUCUGGUGGGCGAUUUUCGUCCGCCGGGUGCCCCAGCUAACGCGGUAAGUAUUCCGCCUGGGAACUACGAGCGCAAGCUUAAAAACUCAAAGGAAUUGACGGGGGCCCGCACAAGCAGCGGAGCGUGUGGUUUAAUUCGACGCAACGCGCAGAACCUUACCCAGGUUUGACAUGCUACUGCAAGCCGGUGAAAGCCGGUCGCCUUCGAGGGUGUAGCACAGAUGCUGCAUGGCUGUCGUCAGCUCGUGUCGUGAGAUGUUGGGUUAAGUCCCGCAACGAGCGCAACCCC
RNAcentral lists this ribosomal RNA (338 nucleotides) under uncultured bacterium. Its description in RNAcentral is "bacterial SSU rRNA". It matches the Rfam family "Bacterial small subunit ribosomal RNA", at positions 772 to 1105 of the family's 1533-position model. The record is from RNAcentral.